This 998-nucleotide ribosomal RNA is filed under the name uncultured bacterium. RNAcentral's name for it is "bacterial SSU rRNA". It matches the Rfam family "Bacterial small subunit ribosomal RNA", at positions 356 to 1376 of the family's 1533-position model. The record is from RNAcentral.
GGGGAAUAUUGCACAAUGGGGGAAACCCUGAUGCAGCGACGCCGCGUGAGUGAUGAAGUAUUUCGGUAUGUAAAACUCUAUCAGCAGGGAAGAUAAUGACGGUACCUGACUAAGAAGCACCGGCUAAAUACGUGCCAGCAGCCGCGGUAAUACGUAUGGUGCAAGCGUUAUCCGGAUUUACUGGGUGUAAAGGGAGCGUAGACGGAUGGACAAGUCUGAUGUGAAAGGCUGGGGCUCAACCCCGGGACUGCAUUGGAAACUGCCCGUCUUGAGUGCCGGAGAGGUAAGCGGAAUUCCUAGUGUAGCGGUGAAAUGCGUAGAUAUUAGGAAGAACACCGGUGGCGAAGGCGGCUUGCUGGACUGUUACUGACGCUGAGUCACGAAAGCGUGGGGAGCAAACAGGAUUAGAUACCCUGGUAGUCCACGCCGUAAACGAUGAGUGCUAGGUGUUGGCGAGGAAUCGUCGGUGCCGCAGCAAACGCAAUAAGCACUCCACCUGGGGAGUACGACCGCAAGGUUGAAACUCAAAGGAAUUGACGGGGACCCGCACAAGCGGUGGAGCAUGUGGUUUACUUUGAAGCAACGCGAAGAACCUUACCUAAACUUGACAUCCCGAUGACCAUCUAUGUAAUGUUGACUCUCUUCGGAGCAUCGGUGACAGGUGGUGCAUGGUUGUCGUCAGCUCGUGUCGUGAGAUGUUGGGUUAAGUCCCGCAACGAGCGCAACCCUUAUCGUUAGUAGCCAUCAUUAAGUUGGGCACUCUAGCGAGACUGCCGUGGAUAACACGGAGGAAGGUGGGGAUGACGUCAAAUCAUCAUGCCCCUUAUGUUUAGGGCUACACACGUGCUACAAUGGCUGUCACAAAGUGAAGCGAACCUGCGAAGGCAAGCCAACCACAAAAAGGCAGUCCCAGUUCGGAUUGUAGUCUGCAACUCGACUACAUGAAGUUGGAAUCGCUAGUAAUCGCGAAUCAGAAUGUCGCGGUGAAUACGUUCCCG